Budorcas taxicolor (takin) is the source of this 413-nucleotide long non-coding RNA. RefSeq lists it as uncharacterized. The transcript has 4 exons. The record is from RefSeq and is a predicted model, not a curated record. Lineage: Eukaryota; Metazoa; Chordata; Mammalia; Artiodactyla; Bovidae.
GUUCAUUCUGGGCAUUUUGGCUUUCUUGAAUCUCCAACUGAUUCCCACUCUCAUGACUGGUGAUAUCCUUUCCCAGUUAAUCGAGUAUUCUCCACUUGUGCUCUGUCAUCCAUGCCACUUUAAGGAGGAAGUCACACAAAAAGAAGUAUUAAGAAUUUCCCUUUGAGGCUCUGAAGGCUAAAGAGGACCUGAUAAAUUACAAGUCUGUCUGUGCCCCAUAGCUGCACAGAAGCUAUGAACAACUCACUACUUGGGACAACUCUUUCUGUUUCAAGACAAGAAGACUCAGAAUUUCAAGAUGUUGUAUCUGACUUUUCACCUGUCAACCAAGAGCAGCUGAAAAGGCGAGAGCCCUGGAGAACUGUUUUCCUACAUAUGUAUUUGUUUUUAGACAAAUGUGUUUGUUUGAACAU